Molecule: ribosomal RNA, 253 nt
Filed under: uncultured bacterium
Lineage: Bacteria
Description: partial 16S ribosomal RNA
Rfam family: Bacterial small subunit ribosomal RNA
Source: RNAcentral
UACGUAGGGUGCGAGCGUUAAUCGGAAUUACUGGGCGUAAAGGGUGCGCAGGCGGAUAUAUAAGUUAGAUGUGAAAUCCCCGAGCUUAACUUGGGAAUGGCAUUUAAGACUGUAUGUCUAGAGUUUGUCAGAGGGGGGUAGAAUUCCAAGUGUAGCAGUGAAAUGCGUAGAGAUUUGGAGGAAUACCGGUGGCGAAGGCGGCCCCCUGGGAUAGAACUGACGCUCAGGCACGAAAGCGUGGGUAGCAAACAGG